Molecule: ribosomal RNA, 453 nt
Filed under: uncultured bacterium
Lineage: Bacteria
Description: bacterial SSU rRNA
Rfam family: Bacterial small subunit ribosomal RNA
Source: RNAcentral
UGGCGGCAUGGAUUAGGCAUGCAAGUCGAACGAGGUAGCAAUACCGAGUGGCGGAAGGGUGAGGAACGCGUGAGUAAUCUGCCCUCAAGUUGGAAUAACAGUUGGAAACGAUUGCUAAUACCGAAUGUGGCUAAGAGGUCGCAUGAUCUUUUGGCUAAAGAUUUAUUGCUUGAGGAUGAGCUCGCGUCCCAUUAGCUAGUUGGUGAGGCAACGGCUCACCAAGGCGAUGAUGGGUAGCUGGUCUGAGAGGAUGGUCAGCCACACUGGGACUGAGACACUGCCCAGACUCCUACGGGAGGCUGCAGUCGAGAAUCUUGGGCAAUGCGCGAAAGCCGUGACCCAGCAAUGCCGCGUGUGUGAUGAAGGUCUUCGGAUUGUAAAACACUGUCAACCGGGACGAAAGAUGACGGUACCGGUGAAGGAAGCCACGGCUAACUACGUGCCAGCCGCGGC